RNAcentral lists this transfer RNA (66 nucleotides) under Danionella translucida. It matches the Rfam family "tRNA". Rfam says of the family: Transfer RNA (tRNA) molecules are approximately 80 nucleotides in length. Their secondary structure includes four short double-helical elements and three loops (D, anti-codon, and T loops). Further hydrogen bonds mediate the characteristic L-shaped molecular structure. tRNAs have two regions of fundamental functional importance: the anti-codon, which is responsible for specific mRNA codon recognition, and the 3' end, to which the tRNAs corresponding amino acid is attached (by aminoacyl-tRNA synthetases). tRNAs cope with the degeneracy of the genetic code in two manners: having more than one tRNA (with a specific anti-codon) for a particular amino acid; and 'wobble' base-pairing, i.e. permitting non-standard base-pairing at the 3rd anti-codon position. RNAcentral also lists the same sequence under 1 other name. Lineage: Eukaryota; Metazoa; Chordata; Actinopteri; Cypriniformes; Danionidae. The record is from Rfam by way of RNAcentral.
GCCUGGCUAGCUCAGUCGGUAGAGCAUGAGACUCUUGGGUUGUGGGUUCGAGCCCCACGUUGGGUG